Molecule: non-coding RNA, 520 nt
Filed under: uncultured Glomus
Lineage: Eukaryota; Fungi; Glomeromycota; Glomeromycetes; Glomerales; Glomeraceae
Also listed under: 3 other names
Description: SSU rRNA
Rfam family: Eukaryotic small subunit ribosomal RNA
Source: RNAcentral
AGCAGCCGCGGUAAUUCCAGCUCCAAUAGCGUAUAUUAAAGUUGCUGCAGUUAAAAAGCUCGUAGUUGAAUUUCGGGACUAAUAUGUCGGUCGUGCCUCGGUACGUACUGGUUUAUUGGUUUCUCCUUUCUGAAGAACCAUGAUGUCAUUUAUUUGGUGUCGUGGGGAAUCAGGACUGUUACUUUGAAAAAAUUAGAGUGUUUAAAGCAGGCUCACGCUUGAAUACAUUAGCAUGGAAUAAUGAAAUAGGACGUUUGAUUCUAUUUUGUUGGUUUCUAGGAUCGACGUAAUGAUUAAUAGGGAUAGUUGGGGGCAUUAGUAUUCAAUUGUCAGAGGUGAAAUUCUUGGAUUUAUUGAAGACUAACUACUGCGAAAGCAUUUGCCAAGGAUGUUUUCAUUAAUCAAGAACGAAAGUUAGGGGAUCGAAGACGAUCAGAUACCGUCGUAGUCUUAACCAUAAACUAUGCCGACUAGGGAUCGGAUGAUGUUAAUUUUUUAAUGACUCAUUCGGCGCCUUACG